Molecule: ribosomal RNA, 54 nt
Filed under: Staphylococcus intermedius
Lineage: Bacteria; Bacillati; Bacillota; Bacilli; Caryophanales; Staphylococcaceae
Description: partial 23S ribosomal RNA
Source: RNAcentral
AAGCGUAGCGAUACGUGGAGCUGACGAAUACUAAUCGAUCGAAGACUUAAUCAA